AGUGUGGUGCGAUAGCCAGGUCAGUCGGCUGGACUGCUAAUCCAGUGCUGUAAAGCUCGCGGGUUCGAAUCCCGCCCACACUA
RNAcentral lists this transfer RNA (83 nucleotides) under Candidatus Heimdallarchaeota archaeon. Its description in RNAcentral is "tRNA-Ser". It matches the Rfam family "tRNA". From Rfam's summary of the family: Transfer RNA (tRNA) molecules are approximately 80 nucleotides in length. Lineage: Archaea; Promethearchaeati; Candidatus Heimdallarchaeota. The record is from RNAcentral.